AGUGAACGCUGGCGGUAGGCCUAACACAUGCAAGUCGAACGGCAGCACAGGAGAGCUUGCUCUCUGGGUGGCGAGUGGCGGACGGGUGAGGAAUACAUCGGAAUCUACUCUGUCGGGGGGGAUAACGUAGGGAAACUUACGCUAAUACCGCAUACGACCUACGGGCGAAAGAAGGGGAACUUCGGGCCGUGCGUGAUUUCAUGAACCGAUGUCGGAUUAGCUAGUUGGCGGGGUAAAGGCCCACCAAGGCGACGAUCCGUAGCUGGUCUGAGAGGAUGAUCAGCCACACUGGAACUGAGACACGGUCCAGACUCCUACGGGAGGCAGCAGUGGGGAAUAUUGGACAAUGGGCGCAAGCCUGAUCCAGCCAUACCGCGUGGGUGAAGAAGGCCUUCGGGUUGUAAAGCCCUUUUGUUGGGAAAGAAAUCCAGCUGGCUAAUACCCGGUUGGGAUGACGGUACCCAAAGAAUAAGCACCGGCUAACUUCGUGCCAGCCGCCGCCGUAA
This 506-nucleotide ribosomal RNA is filed under the name uncultured bacterium. RNAcentral's name for it is "partial 16S ribosomal RNA". It matches the Rfam family "Bacterial small subunit ribosomal RNA", at positions 29 to 523 of the family's 1533-position model. The record is from RNAcentral.